RNAcentral lists this ribosomal RNA (433 nucleotides) under uncultured bacterium. RNAcentral's name for it is "partial 16S ribosomal RNA". It matches the Rfam family "Bacterial small subunit ribosomal RNA", at positions 28 to 507 of the family's 1533-position model. The record is from RNAcentral.
AGCGAACGCUGGCGGCAGGCCUAACACAUGCAAGUCGAACGGCUCCUUCGGGAUUAGUGGCGGACGCGGGAGUAACACGUGGGAACGUGCCCUUUGGUUCGGAACACCUCAGGGAAACUUGAGCUAAUACAGGAUGUGCCCUUCGGGGAACAGAUUUAUCGCACUUGGAGCGGCCCGCGUCCGUUUAACCUGUUGCGGAGGUAACAGCCGACCAAGGCGAGGAUCAGUAGCUGGUCAGAGAGGCUGCUCAGCGACACUGGGGCGGGGACCCGGCCCAGACUCCUACGGGAGGCAGCAGUGGGGGAUCCAGCGCAAUGGGGGGAAUCCUGACGCAGCCAGGCCGCGUGAAUGAUGAAGGUCUUAGGGUAGUGAAACUCUUUCAGCGGGGACGAUAAUGACGGUACCCGCAGAAGAAGCUCCGGCUAACUUCGUG